CUUGGUCAUUUAGAGGAAGUAAAAGUCGUAACAAGGUCUCCGUAGGUGAACCUACGGAGGGAUCAUUAUCGAGUUAAACGUUUGUCUUACGGGGCAAGCGCCAUCUCCAACCCUUUGUGAACACAUCUUGUUGCUUCGGGGGCGACCCUGCCGUUCGCGGCAUUCCCCCCGGAGGCCAUCAAAACACUGCAUUCUUACGUCGGAGUAUAAAGUUAAUUUAAUAAAACUUUCAACAACGGAUCUCUUGGUUCUGGCAUCGAUGAAGAACGCAGCGAAAUGCGAUAAGUAAUGUGAAUUGCAGAAUUCAGUGAAUCAUCGAAUCUUUGAACGCACAUUGCGCCCCCUGGUAUUCCGGGGGGCAUGCCUGUUCGAGCGUCAUUUCACCACUCNAAGCCUCGCUUGGUAUUGGGCGUCGCGAGUCUCUCGCGCGCCUUAAAGUCUCCGGCUGUUUGACCCGUCUCCCAGCGUUGUGGCAACUAUCUCGCAGUGGAGUUCGAGUCGGAUUGGCCGUUAAAUCUUUCAAAGGUUGACCUCGGAUCAGGUAGGGAUACCCGCUGAACUUAAGCAUAUCAAUAAGCGGAGGAAAGAAACCAACAGGGAUUGCCCUAGUAACGGCGAGUGAAGCGGCAACAGCUCAAAUUUGAAAUCUGGCGCAAGCCCGAGUUGUAAUUUGUAGAGGAUGCUUCUAGGUAGCGACCNGGUCUAAGUUCCUUGGAACAGGACGUCAUAGAGGGUGAGAAUCCCGUAUGUGACCGGCCCGCACCUUCUACGUAGCUCCUUCGACGAGUCGAGUUGUUUGGGAAUGCAGCUCUAAAUGGGAGGUAAAUUUCUUCUAAAGCUAAAUACCGGCCAGAGACCGAUAGCGCACAAGUAGAGUGAUCGAAAGAUGAAAAGCACUUUGGAAAGAGAGUUAAAAAGCACGUGAAAUUGUUGAAAGGGAAGCGCUCACAACCAGACUUCUAGGCAGUGUUCCGCCGGUCUUUUGACCGGUCUACUCUCUGUCUCGAGGCCAACAUCAUCUGGGACCGCUGGAUAAGACCUUAGGAAUGUAGCUCCCCUCGGGGAGUGUUAUAGCCUCUGGUGAUGCAGCGAGUCUCGGGUGAGGUCCGCGCUUCGGCAAGGAUGUUGGCGUAAUGGUUGUCAGCGGCCCGUCUUGAAACACGGACC
Molecule: ribosomal RNA, 1167 nt
Filed under: uncultured fungus
Lineage: Eukaryota; Fungi
Description: eukaryotic LSU rRNA
Rfam family: Eukaryotic large subunit ribosomal RNA (bases 528-1167)
Source: RNAcentral